UACGGAGGGUGCGAGCGUUGUCCGGAAUCACUGGGCGUAAAGGGCGCGUAGGUGGCGACCCAAGUCAACGGUGAAAGCUCGGCGCUUAACGCCGAGUCGGCCGUCGAUACUGGGUGGCUCGAGCACUGUAGAGGCAGAUGGAAUUCCGGGUGUAGCGGUGGAAUGCGUAGAGAUCCGGAAGAACACCGGUGGCGAAGGCGGUCUGCUGGGCAGUUGCUGACACUGAGGCGCGACAGCGUGGGGAGCAAACAGGGAUUAAGAAA
Molecule: ribosomal RNA, 263 nt
Filed under: uncultured bacterium
Lineage: Bacteria
Description: partial 16S ribosomal RNA
Rfam family: Bacterial small subunit ribosomal RNA
Source: RNAcentral